This 75-nucleotide transfer RNA is filed under the name Tannerella sp. RNAcentral describes it as "tRNA-Val". It matches the Rfam family "tRNA". Rfam says of the family: Transfer RNA (tRNA) molecules are approximately 80 nucleotides in length. The record is from RNAcentral. Lineage: Bacteria; Pseudomonadati; Bacteroidota; Bacteroidia; Bacteroidales; Tannerellaceae.
GGGCGUUUAGCUCAGCUGGUUCAGAGCGUCUGCCCUACAAGCAGAGGGUCGGCGGUUCGAAUCCGUCAACGCCCA